RNAcentral lists this long non-coding RNA (300 nucleotides) under Panicum hallii. RNAcentral describes it as "long non-coding RNA (PHAL_LNC000116)". The record is from RNAcentral. Lineage: Eukaryota; Viridiplantae; Streptophyta; Magnoliopsida; Poales; Poaceae.
AGGCCAUGACCAGCAGGCCUGUCAUAAGGGUAAGGGGAAGCGGUGGCAUAUGAUGCAUGGGAGGGGGAGAUGGUGGCGUAUGAUGCGUGGGAGGGGGAGGUGGUGGCGUAUGAUGCGUGGGAGGGGGAGGCGGUGGCGUAUGAUGCGUGGGAAGGGGAAGCAGUGGCAUAUGAGGUGUGGGAAGGGGAAGUGGUGGCGUAUGAGGUGUGGGAAGGAGAGCGGGCAAAUGUGGUGGGAGCUGGGAAAGAAGACACAGAUGCAUUGUUAGUUAGACGACCUGCCUUGGCAGGAGGCAUUGGG